GAAUUUAAAGAGACCAAGGCCAGUGGGAAGUCAUCAGGGUAUCCUAGCUAUUAAUACCCUUCUCCUUCUGUCUUGCUUCUAAUGAGGAAACUGAAGGCCCAAGAAGAUGAAGACCAAGGUCACUCAAGAAUCAGAAUUUCUGAAUCAGAAGGGAACUCAGUGGUCAUCCAAGUCCAAUCCAUAAAGAAAUGGCUUUUACAAUAUCUCUAAAAGGCCAAGACAGAUAAAUGACUUGCCUUUAAUAAUAAGAAGCAGAGCUAUGAUUGCAUCAAAAAUCCACCA
This is a non-coding RNA of Phascolarctos cinereus (koala), 282 nucleotides long. The record is from RefSeq and is a predicted model, not a curated record. NCBI's taxonomy places the organism in Eukaryota, Metazoa, Chordata, Mammalia, Diprotodontia, Phascolarctidae.